GUUUACCCAUAGACGUAUCAAAAGAGACCUGAUUGUUUACAUUUGAAAGUGAGGCCAACAUUCACUAGUCCACUAUUUGUACUGGCCGACUGUAAUCUGGUCUAUUUCACUGGGGGAAAGCACUGUUGCCAGAUUUAUCAUUUGGGCUGAUGUUUCGGUUCAAAACUUCGUCCGCAGUUCAUGUCUAUGCGUUCUUCAACUUACUCCGAGUAAGCUAUGAUUACUCAAAAGCGUUCACAAACGUACUAUUCCUUCCUCUGAGUAUGCUCUUCGAGUAUCACGGCUUACUCGGAGUAAAUUUAAGAACGCAACCCUUGAAUGAUUCGGCGUCUGGGGAAGUGCGGCAACACUGUGCUUAUUAAAUGACGGCAAAUUGUCAAGAUGGCAGGUUUCUUUCACGUGGUCUGUCACAUUCGUUGCAUCGUUGUCAGGUCGAAUCCUGAGAUAUUUAAGGAGAUUUAAGGAAAUAAAUUUGUGUGCUCUAAUAUUUAUUUCGUGAUUUGAGCGUUUUAGGCUGAAUUUAGUUGAAUAUAUAUUUAAAUAUGAUUCGUCAGUGUGAAAUUUGUAAGAAAAGUAAGAUUUCCCAUCCGGAUUUAUCUUUUCAUAAAUUUCCAUCUGAUACCGAAAAGAGAGGAAUUUGGGCUUCGCUCCUUGGAUUUGAAAGCGUUAAUUUCACUAAGAAGUUAGUAUUUAUUUGUUCGAACCAUUUCAAUCCAGACGAUAUUGAAAUAAGGCCAAAUGGAAAAUUCCUCAAGCCAGAUGUUGUCCCAUUACCUUAUCAUACAACAUUCGAGAUUUCAAAUGAAAGUUCAGACACAGUAUCCGAACAAGUAUCCGAACAAGAAGAUAGUCGUAUCAGCCCAACUACAGAGACAAUGUUGUUUGGAGUGGCAAGUAACCAGUUUGAUGUUGAAGCUCUGUCUAAAAGCUCAUCAUCAUCUUCAGCAACUCUUACUGCUUCAUCUUCAGUUACUCUUACAGCCUCAGAGUGUGAAAACGAACUUUCUAAGACAAUUUUUGUUGAACCAUCAUCCCAAAAUGUUCCAAAAAAAAAAGAAAGAGGAGCUAUUUUGGCGAUUUGUCAAGCAGUGAUUUCUCGACACCAGAGAAGCGAAGGAAAAGUUUUCACGGUAUAAAGAAAAUUGUCAGAAAACAAAAAGUGAGAAUACAUUCUCUUUAAAAUAAGGUCCGUCGUCAAAGGCUUCGAAUAACAUCAUUGAAAAGUUUGGUGUCAUUUUUGAAUGAAAAGUUUCUUUUAUCAGAGGAAUCAGAACACACAUUAUUGGCAUCAAUCCCCAAAACAGCUUGAGAUUUGUUUAAGAGAAUGUUGCGAGGCCCCACAAGGCAAAAAUAUGAACCAAGCUUGUGAUCAUUUGCAUUGACUUUGGCAUUUUAUUCACCGAAGGCAUAUAUGUUAGAAAAACCUUCAAUGACAGUUUACCACAUUUGGGAACAAUAUCCAAAUGGUAUCGAUCAGUUGAUGGUACUCCUGGUUUUACCAAAGGGUACAUAUGUUCCAUUAUGAUGCAUUGAUUAUUCAAAUAUCAUUUCAAAAGUAUUGUAAGAAGUUUUUAGUUUGUUCAUUUUUUAUUGGCUAUCUAUUCUUGAUUCUGGUUAUAGGUUAGUGUAAUGUUAUGAUUUUGUAUUCAUUGAAUGAAAACUUGUUAUACUGAAACAUUAAUCGAGAAAAGUCAAUAGAACAAAACAAUAUCAGAAUUAUAUGUAGGUAUAUUAAAAUUUAACUCUGUUUUAGUUCAAAAUAACAACUAGCUGUGAAUUGUUUUUUUUUGUCAGGUGUUAAGGAAUGAAAUCUUGUCAAAAACUGUAGGCCCCGAUACCAUAAUAUGUAAUUGAUUGUUUCUUGAAAAAAUAAAUCAUUUGUUUGGGAGCUGUAGGUAUCUAGUCAAGCAUCAGCAUACAAUUAAAUAUCUCAGAUAUACUAAACUCAAUUAAAUAUGCCAUAUCUGUAUCUACCCUUUGUAUUAUUUGUAUUUUACAAUAAAUUGCUUGAUGACAUCAAAAGAUUAAAUGAACAAAGUUUCGAUAAAAAAGUAAAGGAAUUAUUGCUGCAGAACACAUACAUAUACAGCCUAAAAGAGUUUUAAAAUGUUUGUGUAUGUAAUUUGUUUUUUAAACCUGAUUGAAUUUUUAUGACAAACCGUGAAAAUUAUUGACAGUGAAUAUUUAUAGUGUACAAUGUGAUGUAGUACAUAUGUAAAUAAAUAUUAUUAUUAUGAAGUUUUGUAACUUCAAGGCUAUGAAUUGUUUUUUUUUUGUUAUGUGUCAAGAAAUUAAAUCUUGUCAAAAACUGUAGGCCCUAAUUCCAUAAUAUGUAAUUGUUCCUCGAAAAAAUAAAUUAUUUGUUUAGA
Harmonia axyridis is the source of this 2369-nucleotide RNA transcript. RefSeq lists it as uncharacterized. The record is from RefSeq and is a predicted model, not a curated record. Lineage: Eukaryota; Metazoa; Arthropoda; Insecta; Coleoptera; Coccinellidae. The transcript is spliced from 6 exons.